This is a long non-coding RNA of Ceratina calcarata, 185 nucleotides long. RefSeq lists it as uncharacterized. The transcript is spliced from 2 exons. Lineage: Eukaryota; Metazoa; Arthropoda; Insecta; Hymenoptera; Apidae. The record is from RefSeq and is a predicted model, not a curated record.
CAUUUCCCUAGAAAAAUGAAAGAAGACAUAGUAAAACAUUCGACUGCGAUCGGAUUAAGCAGAGCAAUAACGGAUUUCGGAAAUGCUUGGCACACUUCCAAACGUUUGAAGAAAAUACUUUUCGGAGGGAUAUAAUAAGCGUGUAAAUGAAUAUAUGCGCGCAAAUACACAAAUUACACAUACAA